This 496-nucleotide ribosomal RNA is filed under the name uncultured bacterium. Its description in RNAcentral is "partial 16S ribosomal RNA". It matches the Rfam family "Bacterial small subunit ribosomal RNA", at positions 29 to 507 of the family's 1533-position model. The record is from RNAcentral.
AUGAACGCUGGCGGCGUGCCUAAUACAUGCAAGUCGCGCGAACAGACGAGGAGCUUGCUCCUCUGACGUUAGCGGCGGACGGGUGAGUAACACGUGGAUAACCUACCUAUAAGACUGGGAUAACUUCGGGAAACCGGAGCUAAUACCGGAUAAUAUAUUGAACCGCCUGGUUCAAUAGUGAAAGACGGUUUUGCUGUCACUUAUAGAUGGAUCCGCGCCGCAUUAGCUAGUUGGUAAGGUAACGGCUUACCAAGGCAACGAUGCGUAGCCGACCUGAGAGGGUGAUCGGCCACACUGGAACUGAGACACGGUCCAGACUCCUACGGGAGGCAGCAGUAGGGAAUCUUCCGCAAUGGGCGAAAGCUUGACGGAGCAACGCCGCGUGAGUGAUGAAGGUCUUCGGAUCGUAAAACUCUGUUAUUAGGGAAGAACAAAUGUGUAAGUAACUAUGCACGUCUUGACGGUACCUAAUCAGAAAGCCACGGCUAACUACGUG